CUCUUGGUAGUUUAAAACAAAACGCCAGUUUUGCAAAUUGGUAAUAGGCUUUAAAUUUAAGUCCUCUAAGUGA
RNAcentral lists this transfer RNA (73 nucleotides) under Hoploplana elisabelloi. RNAcentral's name for it is "tRNA-Ala". Lineage: Eukaryota; Metazoa; Platyhelminthes; Polycladida; Hoploplanidae. The record is from RNAcentral.